RNAcentral lists this transfer RNA (82 nucleotides) under Atopobium minutum 10063974. It matches the Rfam family "tRNA". From Rfam's summary of the family: Transfer RNA (tRNA) molecules are approximately 80 nucleotides in length. Their secondary structure includes four short double-helical elements and three loops (D, anti-codon, and T loops). Lineage: Bacteria; Bacillati; Actinomycetota; Coriobacteriia; Coriobacteriales; Atopobiaceae. The record is from Rfam by way of RNAcentral.
GGGGGCGUGGUGGAAUUGGCAGACGCAGGGGAUUUAAAAUCCCUGGCCGAAAGGCUUGCGGGUUCGAGUCCCGCCGCCCCUA